AGUACUAGCCGAGUUUUCUAUUAAUUUAGUAAACAAAAUGGUGAAACCGCAAAAAGCUCAUUAAAUCGGCUUUCGUUACUUAGACAAUACGCAGUUAGCAAUUUUUUUCUAUGGAAAAAAUUGAAUCACUGAAAUGGAUAACUGUGGUAAUUCUAGAGCUAAUACAUGAAAAUUGAACAAUUUUGAAUGCGAAAAUUCGGAACGGUUCCUCGUGUCAGCUUGCUGAAUUCCGAGAAUUGUGACGAUGAAAAUUUUUGCACGCUUUUAUUAGAGUAAAAAGCCAGCUGAAUAACGAUCGCUCGACAUUUCAAGCGUAACGCGCGAUUUGGUAUGUAGCGAUUGUUGAAUCAUUAUGAGUUCCUCUCCGUUUUGGAGAGAAAUAUCAAUAAUGUUGAAUCUCAAUAACUCGAAUGAAUCGUUUACGAAAGCUAACGAAAAUUUGGCAAGCAAUUGACAAGCUUUGUUAGUGAUUAGGAAACGAUUUAAAGCAGACCGCAAUAAAUGAAUAAUCAAAUUUUGUUAACAAAAUUUGUUUAAUUUGCGGCGUGUCUUUCAAUUGUCUGCCUUAUCAACUGUCGAUGGUAGAUUAUAUGUCUACCAUGGUUGCAACGGGUAACGGGGAAUCAGGGUUCGAUUCCGGAGAGGGAGCCUGAGAAACGGCUACCACAUCUAAGGAAGGCAGCAGGCGCGUAAAUUACCCACUCCCAGUUCGGGGAGGUAGUGACGAAAAAUAACGAUCCGGAACUCGAAUGAGUUUCCGUAAUCGGAAUGAGUACAAUUUUAAUCCUUUAACAAGGACCUAUUGGAGGGCAAGUCUGGUGCCAGCAGCCGCGGUAAUUCCAGCUCCAAUAGCGUAUAUUAAAGUUGUUGCGGUUAAAAAGCUCGUAGUUGAAUCUCUAUCUCAUACUGUCAAACGCUCAUAAUAUUCAUUUAUGUAGUAUGUUUUUGACAAAAUUUUUUAUGGUAUGAGAUAUGCAAACUGGUGGAUUUUGAAAAAUUGUUAUUCGAGCACGUAACGCAAACUCUAUGUUGUGCAUACGUGUGGAAUAGAAUUUUUAAAUUCGAUAUCGUCGGUCAAUAUGUUGACCGGAUUUGUGUGCCGAAUUUCGAACAUGGUUCAUGCAAAAUUUCGUCGCGUUAAAUGAACUGAUUGUUGUCAUUCGUUUAGCGUGCGUAAUGUGAACCAAUGUUUCGUUUUUCAUGGUACGCAGUUCGUUAAUGGUGAACAUGAUCGUUCGAUAUUCUAAAUGUUGAUCAAAAAGAUGUGCAUCGGAAUCUUAUGUUUCCAUGUCAUUGUCAACAAAUUUAGACCAGUUAAAUUACUUUGAACAAAUUAGAGUGCUUAAAGCAGGCUACAUUAUGUGCCUUGAAUAUAAACAGCAUGGAAUAAUAGAAUAUGAUCUCGAUACUGUUUUGUUCCACUGU
Molecule: ribosomal RNA, 1425 nt
Filed under: Dipterophagus daci
Lineage: Eukaryota; Metazoa; Arthropoda; Insecta; Strepsiptera; Halictophagidae
Description: SSU rRNA
Rfam family: Eukaryotic small subunit ribosomal RNA
Source: RNAcentral